This 86-nucleotide transfer RNA is filed under the name Paenibacillus sp. YN15. RNAcentral's name for it is "tRNA-Leu". It matches the Rfam family "tRNA". From Rfam's summary of the family: Transfer RNA (tRNA) molecules are approximately 80 nucleotides in length. The record is from RNAcentral. Lineage: Bacteria; Bacillati; Bacillota; Bacilli; Caryophanales; Paenibacillaceae.
GCGGUCGUGGUGGAAUGGCAGACACGCUACUUUGAGGGGGUAGUGGGCGAAAGCUCGUGGAGGUUCGAGUCCUCUCGACCGCACUA